GGGGAUUUAGCUCAGUGGUAGAGCGCUUGCCUAGCAAGGCCCUGGGUUCGGUCCCCAGCUCCG
This is a non-coding RNA of Rattus norvegicus (Norway rat), 63 nucleotides long. The record is from Rfam. Lineage: Eukaryota; Metazoa; Chordata; Mammalia; Rodentia; Muridae.